This 99-nucleotide ribosomal RNA is filed under the name Selaginella moellendorffii. Its description in RNAcentral is "rRNA SSU_rRNA_eukarya". The record is from RNAcentral. Lineage: Eukaryota; Viridiplantae; Streptophyta; Lycopodiopsida; Selaginellales; Selaginellaceae.
ACUGAUGAAUUCAACGACUGCGUGCCUGUGCCAAAAGGCUCGGGUAAUCUUUUGAAAUUUCAUCGUGGGGAUAGAUCAUUGCAAUUAUUGAUCUUCAAU